This 277-nucleotide ribosomal RNA is filed under the name Staphylococcus aureus. RNAcentral describes it as "partial 16S ribosomal RNA". It matches the Rfam family "Bacterial small subunit ribosomal RNA", at positions 1 to 267 of the family's 1533-position model. The record is from RNAcentral. Lineage: Bacteria; Bacillati; Bacillota; Bacilli; Caryophanales; Staphylococcaceae.
UUUAUGGAGAGUUUGAUCCUGGCUCAGGAUGAACGCUGGCGGCGUGCCUAAUACAUGCAAGUCGAGCGAACGGACGAGAAGCUUGCUUCUCUGAUGUUAGCGGCGGACGGGUGAGUAACACGUGGAUAACCUACCUAUAAGACUGGGAUAACUUCGGGAAACCGGAGCUAAUACCGGAUAAUAUUUUGAACCGCAUGGUUCAAAAGUGAAAGACGGUCUUGCUGUCACUUAUAGAUGGAUCCGCGCUGCAUUAGCUAGUUGGUAAGGUAACGGCUUA